Molecule: ribosomal RNA, 492 nt
Filed under: uncultured bacterium
Lineage: Bacteria
Description: partial 16S ribosomal RNA
Rfam family: Bacterial small subunit ribosomal RNA
Source: RNAcentral
AGUGAACGCUGGCGGUAGGCCUAACACAUGCAAGUCGAACGGCAGCACAGUAAGAGCUUGCUCUUACGGGUGGCGAGUGGCGGACGGGUGAGGAAUACAUCGGAAUCUACUUUUUCGUGGGGGAUAACGUAGGGAAACUUACGCUAAUACCGCAUACGACCUACGGGUGAAAGCAGGGGAUCUUCGGACCUUGCGCGAUUGAAUGAGCCGAUGUCGGAUUAGCUAGUUGGCGGGGUAAAGGCCCACCAAGGCGACGAUCCGUAGCUGGUCUGAGAGGAUGAUCAGCCACACUGGAACUGAGACACGGUCCAGACUCCUACGGGAGGCAGCAGCGGGGAAUAUUGGACAAUGGGCGCAAGCCUGAUCCAGCCAUACCGCGUGGGUGAAGGAGGCCUUCGGGUUGUAAAGCCCUUUUGUUGGGAAAGAAAAGCAGCAGGUUAAUACCCCGCUGUUCUGACGGUACCCAAAGAAUAAGCACCGGCUAACUUCGUG